This is a long non-coding RNA of Oreochromis aureus, 562 nucleotides long. NCBI's taxonomy places the organism in Eukaryota, Metazoa, Chordata, Actinopteri, Cichliformes, Cichlidae. The record is from Ensembl.
UGUUAAAUAAGAUCUUUCUACAUGACAGAGUUUAGACAGAGUGAAGGGAGUGAAGAGGUGGAAGCAGUUCUUCUGUCAUUCAAUAUUUUUCUUGAUUAGCAUCAAAUUCAUAAUGAAUAUCCAUCAUGUUCUGGUCUUCUGCUUCUUAUCAGGGUUGGAUCUUAACAAGGCUCCAAGCAGAGCUUCAACAUGCAACAUGAAGAAAUGGGAGUGAGACAAAACAUUAUUUUGAGCAUGCAAUUUAUUGAAAACAACACUUAAACUGAAACAGGCUGUUUUACAGCUGAUCAAAAGUUUAGGACCACACCUCCAAAAAUCCUGUAAACCACCCAAAACAGGAAUAAAAGUUCCAAACAUGAACUGAGUAAUGAGGAGCUCCACCGUUAUUGUUGAUCACUUCAAAAAUUCAUAGCGGUGUGCUUGAUGCAAUCAUUUCCAUGAGGUGAGUGGGAACAUUUCUCCAAGUGGUGAAGACAGUCACACGAAGGGCGUCUACUGUCUGGAACUGUUGUCCAUUUUUGCCAUCCAUCCUCAAAAGUUCUCAAUUGGAUUUAGAUCAGGG